AUGGGGUUCUCCGACUGCCCGGGAGCUGGGCAUCUUCCAGCCUGGAAUGAAUCCUCCAGGCCAUGUCCCCUUUGUGUUCACAGCCUCCAUUGCCUCUGCCUGGAUCCGCUGCCCUGGAGCGGGGCUGCCGGCACCAGAGCUGAACCCUCCUUUGAAACAGCGAGUGGCGCUGGGGCUCCCAUGCAGGCUGCAGGGUUAUGUGGCCUGAAUGUACCCCAGAGUGGAGGACAACACGGGAAGCCCAGCUACCUCUGGAGGGGAGGAGGCAGAUGCACUGGUGCACACCCUUGUGUACCUCUUGAAAGAAACGCACCCAGCUUCCUUGGAAUCCGAAGCAGCAUUGAUCUCGUUUGGUGGGAGAAACUGGAGCUCCUGGCUGAUAGGAAUCUGCAGGACGCCUGGAGAGCAGCCCUGGGCUGCCAACGCCCCAGCCGCCCACCUCAGCCCUGCUUCCCGCUGGAGUCCUCCUCGCCUGCCCGACCCCUGCCUGUUUUCCUCCUGGGUGAAAUGAGAGUACUGCCCCAGAGGAAUUCAGAAGACGCCCUCUCUUGUAGCCUGGAGAAAUAAUUAAAAUAAUCACAAACAUGUGUUAAGGGCGUGGCUCAGAACCCAGCUGGAGAGUAACUGUUCACCCAGCCUCGGUCUCCCACUCUCUGGGCCCCCCAAACCCCGGCUGAAAGGGGCAGCCUUGCAAAAAUAACAGGAAAAUGCCUAAUCCUACAAUUUCCCCAGUAACGGUUCAAGAUCAACCCUAUGAGUUCUCUCACUAACAGGUACCCUGCAGGAGUUCUGUUUUGCACAACUUCUGAAGAUAGCUGAAUGGGCAGAAGAGAGAUGUCAAUCUCUCUUCCAAAAUUGUUUUUUUUAGAACCUGCUUUUACAGAGUUCUUGAGUAAACAGCAGGAGACCGAGCUACAGCCUCAACCAUAUCUUGAGGACAGAGUCACAUCUCCUGUGAUAAUCCCUCCUCCAAGGAAAGGCAGAAAACCAAGUCUUGGACUUUGACAUCCUUGCAGCUUUUGUUAUCUACCCGCUGCCACUUUUGUUAUCAACUGACAGCUGUCACUAUUUUUUCCUUCUCUUGGUCCCCCUUAAAAUCAGCGAGCCACUUGGCCUUGCUACUGGCACCCCUGCUAUUUCUUUUGGGAUGCCACGCCCAGCUCCCUGCUCUCUUCCUCCCCUUCCCCUCUCUCUUUCUCCCUCUUUCUCUCACUCUCUUAUUCU
This 1224-nucleotide long non-coding RNA is filed under the name Microcebus murinus (gray mouse lemur). RNAcentral's name for it is "lncRNA (ENSMICG00000048176.1)". Lineage: Eukaryota; Metazoa; Chordata; Mammalia; Primates; Cheirogaleidae. The record is from RNAcentral.